Molecule: ribosomal RNA, 493 nt
Filed under: uncultured bacterium
Lineage: Bacteria
Description: partial 16S ribosomal RNA
Rfam family: Bacterial small subunit ribosomal RNA
Source: RNAcentral
GACGAACGCUGGCGGCGUGCUUAACACAUGCAAGUCGAACGGUGAAGCGCCUUCCUUUUUGGUGGGUGUGGAUGAGUGGCGAACGGGUGAGUAACACGUGAGUAACCUGCCCCCUUCUUCUGGAUAACCGCAUGAAAGUGUGGCUAAUACGGGAUAUUCUGGGUCUGUCGCAUGAUGGGUCUGGGAAAGAUAUUGUUUCGGUGGGGGAUGGGCUCGCGGCCUAUCAGCUUGUUGGUGGGGUGAUGGCCUACCAAGGCGGUGACGGGUAGCCGGCCUGAGAGGGUGGACGGUCCCACUGGGACUGAGACACGGCCCAGACUCCUACGGGAGGCAGCAGUGGGGAAUAUUGCACAAUGGGCGCAAGCCUGAUGCAGCGACGCCGCGUGAGGGAUGGAGGCCUUCGGGUUGUGAACCUCUUUCGCCAGUGAAGCAGGCCUGCCUCGUUUGUGGGUGGGUUGACGGUAGCUGGAUAAGAAGCGCCGGCUAACUACGU